Long non-coding RNA from Brienomyrus brachyistius, 3301 nucleotides. RefSeq lists it as uncharacterized. The record is from RefSeq and is a predicted model, not a curated record. NCBI's taxonomy places the organism in Eukaryota, Metazoa, Chordata, Actinopteri, Osteoglossiformes, Mormyridae. The transcript has 3 exons.
CUGAGGUGGGUGACAUCCGGCUACCUUGUCCCUCUGAAGGGAGGUUAUGGAAAGCUCCGCUUCCAGCUCCCGUGCCGGACUCACUGCCACUCCCAGAGGAGAACACCGAACCUGGAGUGACAAACUACAAGUUUGUCUGGAUCGGUCCCUAUCCUGCCCCACUGCAUCCUUCCUUUCCUGAUGACCGUCACAGUCCCCUUCCCAGUUCUUCCCAGUUCUUCCCAGUCCCUGGGCUGCUGCGAUGCUGAAUGGGCUGAGUAUGCUGAUUUAGCUCAGACCACCAGGAGCCAACGACAUUGGACUUCUGGUUAUUUCUGCCCCAGAACACUGUUUUUCUUAGAUAUUAUGUACUAAUCAUGUUCCUUGUGUUUCUGCACUCUGGUUAGGUCUUUAAUAUAUUUGCUCUUGGUUAACCUUGUCUCUGCCUUGUUUGUAUAUAUGAUAUAUGUCUUGUGUUCUUCGGGUCUCUUAGUCACUAGUUAUUAGAUAAUUGUUUAUGACCCACAACUGCCCCUCCUCUAGGUCUCAUUUAUUGUGUAUAUAUGUCCUUCUCUAUUCUCUGUUUCUGUGUCAGCUAUUGAAUGUGUUUGAGGGUAGAUGUUACCAGUUGGAAAGCCUGUUUUGAUAUGUAUUUAGCGGUUUCUUAUGUUUGGCCUUCUGUUAAUCCCAAAAUUCAUCUGCCUUUGUUUAGACCUAUUGUGGUCUCUUUUGUUGCUGAGUGUUUUGUGUUUAGUUUUAGAUAAAGUUUCAAAGCUGCAUUGCGGACCAUUAAUCAUGCCUGCAGGUGACAAACUCAGAAACACUUUUUAAAGUUUCAUAUUUCUGAUAUAAGAAAAAAGUUUUGUAGAACACAGCAUUCCAAGUACUGGUACAAUUAAGCUUUCAAAAUCUCCCUGUUGGGAAAUGCAAUUUUUUUCAUAGGAUGAAUUAAGUUUGCUUGAUUUGUUUCCUAAUUUGUCAAACAUACCAAUCUCUUCUAUUUUUAAUAUGUUAAAGGUACAGCUUUCAUAUCAAGACUAACCAUACCACUGAGUACAAGGAAUUUAAGAGCAUUUCUAUUUAUGUGUUAAAUGCUCCAGAUAGGAAUCAUCAGAGAGUUAUUUAGUAAAAACAUCACUUGCAUGCCUUCAAUGAUUCAGAAAAGCAAUAAUUGAACUAGAUGCAAAACCACUUACUGUAGCGUUUUAAUGGAAAGAGAUUCAUAUACCAUAUUUCCUGAAGUAGGGGCCUUUAUUUACUUUUAGUAGGGGCCUGUCUGGGGCCAUUAUUUACUUAAGGCACAUAAGCAACAGGCCUUUAUUUGAUGCAGACAGACUUAUAUUAGAGGCAGGCCUUUAUUUCUAUUUCUCUGUUACUGCAUUACGCUGUUAAUAUAAAUUUUAUAUACGAAUGAAUCAAAGGCUAUCAUGUGUUAUUGGAAAUAUUCUCUUAUACUGUACAUUGGUUGAUUACAGUAUUGCAAGGGUACAGACAUUUUAAGAGCUAGCUAACAGUACCAGUAAUUGCCUUGUAACUUUUCAUUAGUUGCCAUGUAAAUCAUACAUACGAUCAGUUUAACUUGUGUGUAGUAUGACCAGUCACGUACCAGAGUUUAUCAUAAAUACACUCAGCUGUCACACCAUAAAAAAUUAUACAUUUUUCUUUAUAGACCCCUAAAUGUUCAUAUAAAUGUCAAUGUUUCUCUUGUAUUUGGUUUGUUUUUAUUUUAGCCUGCAUCUGGGCUAAACUCAUUUGCUACUGUCUAGAAUCUUUGGGUACCACUGGUUUGACUCAGGGAGUCUCAAAUUCGGCACAUAACCUGCAUUAGUUACGGCACCACAGCCACGCCGCGUGACCCCUGAGAUGAUCCGGCUGGUUGUUGAGGACCCGAGUAGCUGGACCAGGCCAAGGGGACGUCCACAUAACACCUGGCUGUGUCAGAUAGGUGGACAACUCCAUAGGGUGGGACUAGGCCAUGAAUCAGCCAGCGAGGUUGCCAACCCAGAUCCAGAGGUGUUUUGUUGGAGGCUGGGUGCAGCAAAGCACUGUACCAGUGCUUGAUCCCCAACCUGUCACCAUUCAGUGCACCAGCUAGUCCUGGUUUUACUUCCAUGACACACCAACUGUCUUCUGGCCUUACCUUUGUGUGGCCACUGCAAAGAUUGGCCUUGAGCAUAGUCCACUCAGACUCACUCAGCACACAAAGUGAGAUGAAUUAAUUCUCACCUAGAAACUUCAGCCAGAUGUUCCCAGCAAACUCUGCCACCCCAUCUGUGUCUUCUUGGUCCAUCUGGCCUGCCCCUGCUACUAGAAAUCCAUCUCACCACCAAGCGAUGGGCACUUUAUAGCUCUGCCCUCUCUUCACCAUUUCUUCAAUUGUUCCUCUGAAGUAGUGCUAAUGGUGACACGAGACUCUCAUACUAUGCAGGGCUACGGUCCCUGAGAUUUGUGUAUUAUACUGUGGUGAAUAAUUCUUAUAGCAUUACAAAUCCAUGUAAAAUGAUGUAUUCCUUAAAAAGCUGAAGUGCAUCAUGGAAUGAUCUAAAUAACAGAUUCAAUCCUCAUGGUGUUCUGUCAAUAGUGGAUGCAUGGAUUAUAAAUUUGUCAGAAAGAUAAUGAUGUUAGGCUGUAAAAUGAAUUGCUGCCUUGUUUUGUGACUGACGCAUAAUGGGCCCAGACCGGAAAAAUCAAUUCAUCAACUUGAACUGUUCAUUUCUGAAAGAGUGAGGACAAUCACCUUGUUAGAAUAUUUCAUAUAAAUGAUUUGAAAUAUUUCUAACUUAAAAAGGUUAAGGAGAAAGUUAAUGUAAAUAUGCUGUUGAAACAGGUUAACCUGUAUGGUUGUGUUUUGUUGUUUAUAACCAGAACAAAAACUAUCAUCAGUUUCCUAAUUCAGCCAUUUGAAUAAAAUAAUUAGGUCUAACAUCUAAGACUGAUUUUAUAUUAAAGGAAAUAUGCUUAAAGGAUCAUUAAAGUGAAUGGCAUAAUACUAAGCAUAUACUACACUGAGUUGGAAUCACUGUUUCUUCUCAUAAAUUAUAAGCAACAAUAAACCCUAGAGAUUUAACAAUAUUUAAAAAAUAAAAAAUGAAAUGGAAAAAAUUAAUAAAAUUUGCAAAGUAUCACUGGGAGACAUCUGCAAGCACUGAACAGCAAAAAGUAGGACAUUAUUGAAAUACUUCUUGUUCCUGAUACUCAAUUAGGUCAGUAAGGAUGGUAAGAUUUAAAGCAUGGCCCAGAUGCUUAGAUCCAUGGUUAAGCUGUCCUUGGGGGCUGCUUCUGCUUGUCUUGUUUAUGCAAUAAAUAUGAAAGUAAAAAUAAA